RNAcentral lists this ribosomal RNA (859 nucleotides) under uncultured bacterium. Its description in RNAcentral is "bacterial SSU rRNA". It matches the Rfam family "Bacterial small subunit ribosomal RNA", at positions 524 to 1381 of the family's 1533-position model. The record is from RNAcentral.
UACGUAGGGUGCGAGCGUUAAUCGGAAUUACUGGGCGUAAAGCGUGCGCAGGCGGUUUUUUAAGACAGGCGUGAAAUCCCCGGGCUUAACCUGGGAACCGCGCUUGUGACUGGAAGACUAGAGUACGGCAGAGGGGGGUGGAAUUCCACGUGUAGCAGUGAAAUGCGUAGAGAUGUGGAGGAACACCGAUGGCGAAGGCAGCCCCCUGGGCCGAUACUGACGCUCAUGCACGAAAGCGUGGGUAGCAAACAGGAUUAGAUACCCUGGUAGUCCACGCCCUAAACGAUGUCAACUAGGUGUUGGGAGGGUAAAACCUUUUAGUACCGUAGCUAACGCGUGAAGUUGACCGCCUGGGGAGUACGGCCGCAAGGUUAAAACUCAAAGGAAUUGACGGGGACCCGCACAAGCGGUGGAUGAUGUGGAUUAAUUCGAUGCAACGCGAAAAACCUUACCUACCCUUGACAUGUUCAGGAGCCUGAAGAGGUUUGGGUGUGCCCGAAAGGGAACUGGAACACAGGUGCUGCAUGGCUGUCGUCAGCUCGUGUCGUGAGAUGUUGGGUUAAGUCCCGCAACGAGCGCAACCCUUGUCGUUAAUUGCCAUCAUUGAGUUGGGCACUUUAACGAGACUGCCGGUGACAAACCGGAGGAAGGUGGGGAUGACGUCAAGUCCUCAUGGCCCUUAUGGGUAGGGCUUCACACGUCAUACAAUGGUCGGUACAGAGGGUUGCCAAGCCGCGAGGUGGAGCCAAUCCCAGAAAGCCGAUCGUAGUCCGGAUUGCAGGCUGCAACUCGCCUGCAUGAAGUCGGAAUCGCUAGUAAUCGCGGAUCAGCAUGUCGCGGUGAAUACGUUCCCGGGUCU